AAGCCGAGAGUCGAGGGGUGGGGGCUUGCUUUGAACAGGCGACUGGUUACGUACACUACAUACAGGAAUAUCAUGUGACACUAGAUUUGACGUACCAGGCUCUGAACGUACCUCAAGUAGGCCUACCUAUGAACCAUAGAUAACGGCAAAAUAUUGAAGCCAGCAAUAUGAAUUCACCAACACUUGAACCCUUCCGCGAAGUUAUUCAAGAAAUGAAGAUGCAAGGGAAGACAUACAAAGAAAUUUCGACAUUCCUAACUUCCACUGGUGUCCAAAGAGGGUGUUCUAUAGACAACAUAAAGCGGUUUUGUGCCGACAAUAACUUUUUAAAAGGAGUUGUGUCGGCCACUCAUUUGGAAUUGGCAGUGGCCAAAGGUAUACAGGAGACCGGACCCACAUUUGGACGUAAAACGAUGACUGGGUACCUAUCCACCAAGGGUAUUAAUGCGUCUGAGGGUCGAGUUGGGGCUGCGCUAAGAUCAGUCCAGCAACCAAACCACAAAGCACGUUGUCAUGGGGCACGGAACUUAAACCCAUUUCCCUACCAUGCUGAAUACAUGGGACACAAGCUUCACAUGGACCAGAAUGAAAAGUUAGUGAUGUUUGGGGCCACACAUGUCUUGGCCAUUGAUGGCUUGACUUCUAAUAUUGUUGGUCAUUCAACCAUGCCUGUGAAAAAUAACCUCAUAAUUUAUGAGAAUGUUUACAGACCAGCGGUUUUGGAAUAUGGAAUGUGGGAUCAAGUAAGGGUAGACAACGGGAAAAAGUUUUACCUGACUCUAUUUAUCCAACAACAACUGUCAGGUUACAGAAACAACCUGGGGGGUAUUCCAAGUAGCAGAAUCACAGAAUUGAGCGGAUUUGGCCUGAAAUGAACAACAGGGUCAACUACCCAAUAAAGACAGCUUUAGUCAAUCUACUUGACCAAGAGCGGAUCAACAUGGAAGACAGUACAGUGAGGUUCUGUGUUUCUAAUCUGACAUGUCAGAUUGCCAGCAUUGGGAUCAACAGAGUUGUGGACUCAUGGAAUGCCCAUAGAAUUCCAGGCAGAGGAGUUCCAAACAUCUUGGCACAACAUGGCUGUGUCAAGAAGGUCACAAAGGAUCUCCUACCCUGUGCCUCAUACCAGAUACCAGAUAGUCAUUGACCAGAUCCUCAACAUUUGGCAUCAACCCGUUUCGAAAUGCAGAAGAGCAAGCCCAAGUGGAGAGACACUUUGAAGAACAGUUUCCAGACAUGACAGUCAUUUAUGACAAUGUAAUAAACAAUACAUAUACACCCUUCCAGGAUGCUCUUAUGCAUCUGAUCCAUCUUACUGUAAACCUAUGAAAAGAAAACUUCCUCUUUCCCAGUGACAAACAACUGCACGCAUACACACACACACAAACGCUUAACACCUUUAGCAUCUCUUGUUGCCCUAUUAAGCGUUGACAUAUACAGUUUGUAUAUAAAAAAGCUCCAAGUUUAACGCCAUGUUGCCCUUUUGCAUUUGUCUGUAAUAAAAUUGAUUUGAAACCUGAAAUGACCCUUCUUCCGAAAUGACAUUUUUUAUAAAGUUUAAGUGCAUGAAUGUUUGUUUGGAUUUCAGAGUUCUUAAAUGAAUGUAGUAUAACUAACACAUGUAUCUGGAUAUAUUUAAAAUACAGUAUUUCAUGCUGAAAGAGAAAGUACAGUUAGGUGUUGAAAUGUAUUUGACUUUGUAUGGUACUUGAAUGUUGCAUCCCAAAGGAACAGAGAAAAGUACACCAUGUGUGUGCUAGUUAGUUGUGCAACCACUCACUAACGGCAGCUAAGGCCGUGUGGAGUGAAACCUAUACACAAAGGGAGCUCUACUGCAACAGGAUUGGUGACCACUAGUCUUAAGGAAUAAAAAGGUCAGAAUCCUUGAGUGACCCAGUGAGAGCCCCAACCUAUAUCCAAUGAAAGAUGUGUGGCAUGUCUUGAAGAUUGCUCUCCAUUAAAACUACCCAUGCAACUUGACACAGCUUUUGUAUUAUUAAUAGUGCAUGUUACGUUCUCCAGUGUUGUGUUUGUGGUAGUGUGUUUGUGUUUCCCCAAGGUUCCCUCGCUGAUUGAAGCGCUGGCUCCUCCCCCCCCUCAUCAGUGACUGCAGCUGGAGUCACGCGUAUAAAGACCGCCGCAUAACGCUUCUCGGGUCUCUUUUUGUCUUGGGAGAGCUGCCCGUUGACUGUGGUCUGUUUGGUUGGGUUGCGCUAUUUGUUUGUAUUGGACUAUUCUGCUCUGUGUUGCGCUGUGCGCUCUGUUUUGUGCGAUCUGUGUAUAUACUAAUUAUUGUUCUUCUGUUCCCAGGGGGAAGGGGAAAGCGCCUUGGGAGUGUUAGGCAAGAGGCCCAUGGGAACACAUCACCCGUAGCUGAAACCUUGUUAAACACACUAGGGAAGACCUGGGCGGACCACCCCCUGUGUUUCUGGUUAGCGCCGGCUGGCGUUUGAGUUAGGAGUGUGACUUAUUUUACUUUCAUGGUUUUGGUUCCGUACAGCCCUUUCCCCCCCACUACCGUGUUUGGCAAAAUAA
Molecule: RNA transcript, 2535 nt
Organism: Hypomesus transpacificus
Lineage: Eukaryota; Metazoa; Chordata; Actinopteri; Osmeriformes; Osmeridae
Exons: 6
Source: RefSeq, a predicted model, not a curated record